UACGGAGGGUGCAAGCGUUAAUCGGAAUUACUGGGCGUAAAGCGUGCGUAGGCGGCUUUUUAAGUCAGAUGUGAAAGCCCCGGGCUUAACCUGGGAACUGCAUUUGAUACUGGAAGGCUAGAGUUGAGUAGAGGAGAGUGGAAUUUCAGGUGUAGCGGUGAAAUGCGUAGAGAUCUGAAGGAACACCAGUGGCGAAGGCGGCUCUCUGGACUCAAACUGACGCUGAGGUACGAAAGCGUGGGUAG
Molecule: ribosomal RNA, 245 nt
Filed under: uncultured Methylomonas sp.
Lineage: Bacteria; Pseudomonadati; Pseudomonadota; Gammaproteobacteria; Methylococcales; Methylococcaceae
Description: partial 16S ribosomal RNA
Rfam family: Bacterial small subunit ribosomal RNA
Source: RNAcentral